RNAcentral lists this ribosomal RNA (1355 nucleotides) under Colletotrichum truncatum. Its description in RNAcentral is "SSU rRNA". The record is from RNAcentral. Lineage: Eukaryota; Fungi; Ascomycota; Sordariomycetes; Glomerellales; Glomerellaceae.
ACCCUCAUGUCUAGUAUAGCAUUAUACAGCGAAACUGCGAAUGGCUCAUUAUAUAAGUUAUCGUUUAUUUGAUAGUACCUUACUACUUGGAUAACCGUGGUAAUUCUAGAGCUAAUACAUGCUAAAAAUCCCGACUUCGGAAGGGAUGUAUUUAUUAGAUUAAAAACCAAUGCCCUUCGGGGCUCACUGGUGAUUCAUAAUAACUUCUCGAAUCGCAUGGCCUUGCGCCGGCGAUGGUUCAUUCAAAUWUCUUCCCUAUCAACUUUCGAUGCUAGAGUAGUGUUCUAGCAUGGUUACAACGGGUAACGGAGGGUUAGGGCUCGACCCCGGAGAAGGAGCCUGAGAAACGGCUACUACAUCCAAGGAAGGCAGCAGGCGCGCAAAUUACCCAAUCCCGACUCGGGGAGGUAGUGACGAUAAAUACUGAUACAGGGCUCUUUUGGGUCUUGUAAUUGGAAUGAGUACAAUUUAAAUCCCUUUAACGAGGAACAAUUGGAGGGCAAGUCUGGUGCCAGCAGCCGCGGUAAUUCCAGCUCCAAUAGCGUAUAUUAAAGUUGUUGUGGUUAAAAAGCUCGUAGUAGAACCUUGGGCCUGGCUGGCCGGUCCGCCUCACCGCGUGCACUGGUCCGGCCGGGCCUUUCCCUCUGUGGAACCGCAUGCCCUUCACUGGGUGUGCCGGGGAAACAGGACUUUUACUUUGAAAAAAUUAGAGUGCUCCAGGCAGGCCUAUGCUCGAAUACAUUAGCAUGGAAUAAUAGAAUAGGACGUGUGGUUCUAUUUUGUUGGUUUCUAGGACCGCCGUAAUGAUUAAUAGGGACAGUCGGGGGCAUCAGUAUUCAAUUGUCAGAGGUGAAAUUCUUGGAUUUAUUGAAGACUAACUACUGCGAAAGCAUUUGCCAAGGAUGUUUUCAUUUAUCAGGAACGAAAGUUAGGGGAUCGAAGACGAUCAGAUACCGUCGUAGUCUUAACCAUAAACUAUGCCGACUAGGGAUCGGACGAUGUUAUUUUUUGACUCGUUCGGCACCUUACGAGAAAUCAAAGUGCUUGGGCUCCAGGGGGAGUAUGGUCGCAAGGCUGAAACUUAAAGAAAUUGACGGAAGGGCACCACCAGGGGUGGAGCCUGCGGCUUAAUUUGACUCAACACGGGGAAACUCACCAGGUCCAGACACAAUGAGGAUUGACAGAUUGAGAGCUCUUUCUUGAUUUUGUGGGUGGUGGUGCAUGGCCGUUCUUAGUUGGUGGAGUGAUUUGUCUGCUUAAUUGCGAUAACGAACGAGACCUUAACCUGCUAAAUAGCCCGUAUUGCUUUGGCAGUACGCCGGCUUCUUAGAGGGACUAUCGCUCAAGCCGAGAUU